This 457-nucleotide unclassified non-coding RNA is filed under the name Hevea brasiliensis (rubber tree). Lineage: Eukaryota; Viridiplantae; Streptophyta; Magnoliopsida; Malpighiales; Euphorbiaceae. The record is from RNAcentral.
AUAAACAAGCAUGAAAUCUGCAAUAAUGGCCAUUACCACGUCAGCGAAAACAAUCUCAAGCUCGUCAAAGAACUUUUCCCUUCGGCGUUCAUACUCUGCAGCAGUCUUAGUGAAGACCCCAACGCCGCAUUCCAUCCCGACCUUCGCCAGAAACAAAUCAUCCGCCAACAGACGCUCCUUGAAUCCACCAAACUGCAUCAACCAUCGCAUGAGAGCAGACUUCUCGAGCUCCAAAAACUUCGUAACCACCGAUCCAGGGAUUCGACCGGCCUCGAUCGCCGCCGCCAAGUCCUUCGGUAGGCAUUCCAGUGACCGGCCUGCCUCAGCCAACACCAAAAGCGCCUCUACCUUGUUCUUAUCACCAGCAUUACCAGAAUCUCCUUCAUCACCAUGAUCAUCUCCGCCACCCCCUCCUCCGCCGCGCGAAGAAGAGCCACCGCCGUCAGCACCACCACCG